This 1826-nucleotide long non-coding RNA is filed under the name Marmota monax (woodchuck). Lineage: Eukaryota; Metazoa; Chordata; Mammalia; Rodentia; Sciuridae. The record is from RNAcentral.
GAGAAACAAAGGACUUGGCUUACAUCUCCUACAGCCCAGAACCCUCUGGGCACAGAGCUUUGCAAAAGUUAUAUUUGGGUGUGAGGUAGGAGGUCAAAAAGCCUGUGGGUUUGUCCACAGUGAGAGGAAAGAUGAAAGAAAACAAGUGUAGACACCCGGUAAGUCUGCCAUCUUGUGUGUGUGUGUGUGUGUGUGUGUAGGGGGGUAUCCUUUCUUGAUUCCACUUCCUCUUCCAGCUACUGCCUCAUUUCUUUGCUCCCUUUUAUAACUAAACUCCAAAAAAUUGCUUGGAUUCACUGUCUCCAAUUUCUCCCUCCCCGUUUGCUCUUAAGCCCCCUCAACUUCGGAUUUCUCACUUCCUAUUUUCUCCCCAACCUACUUUUGUCAGGGAUACUGUACAACCUCCUUGUGAUUAUUAAGUCCUUUGGCCAGUUUUCUGGUCUCAUCUUACCGCAUCAGCAGCGUUUCAUACUGUGAUGGCAAAACCAGACAUGGUUGUGAAAUGAAAUGAUAAAAACGGUAUGGUAAGAGGGGGCUGGGGUUGUGGCUCCUUGGUAGAGCCCUUGCCUAGCAAGUGUGAGGCCCUGGGUUCUAUCCUCAGCACCAUAUAAAAAUAAAUAAAAGAAAAGAAAAACGUUAUAAGAAAACAAGGCCUGGGGAAAGGGUCAGUUCCCCUCUCUUUGCCUUUCUCUAGGGAGCCUAAUUAACCGCAGGUCCUUAUCUUUUGGAUUGUAAAUAACUGCCCUGGCAGUCUGAAUACUCCCUCUUGAAAUGUAACAGACGUCUGUGAAAAGAGCCAUUACUUAUCUGUUUCUGUAAGCAUGCCUUAUGUUAGAGACCCUUGCACAAAGGAAAAAAGCUCCAAUGAUAGAACAAGUCUAAGGUGAUGCCAAAGAACCUAUAAAUUUUGUGAAAAACUGUGGAUCAGAGCUCAGAAUUUGGAGUUUUGUUUUCCUCUGAGCUGCCUGGUGUAAAACAAUGUUUGGAGUUCCCCUCCUCUCUGAGUGCUGUUUGCUGCUUCUUGAUCAGUCUGUUUCCCCCAACAAUACAGUUAACCACCCCUCCUCAUCCUCAAAACACUUGGAUUCUAGAUCAUCCUGUUCUCCUUCCCAGGAUACCUCCAGCCCCAAUGCUCUUCUCAUGCCACUUCAGCCUGAAAGUUGCACCUACUCAGUGUCUUGCUGAUUUCACUCUCAUUUUUUUUUCAGGGAUGUGCUUGAAUACCAACUCUUCAAUGAAGUGUUCCCCAAUGACUUGAUGAAAGUAUGCCUUCUUCCCAGCCCUAACCAAUUUAUCUCCCUUUCCUGCUAAACCCUAACCUUUUCUGUUUUGAAGUACUGAGGAUUGAACCUGGUGACACUCUACCACUGAGCCACAUUUCUCCCUUUUAAAAAAAUAUUAAUAUAUAUAUUUAAUAUGGUGCUGGGAAUUAGAACCCAGGGCCUUAUGCAUGCGAGGCAAGCACUCUACCAACUGAGCUAUAUCUUCAGCUCUCCCUAGCCCUUUUUAUAUUUUAUUUAGAGACAGAGUCUCACUGAGUUGCUUAGGGGCUCAUUAAGUUGCUGAGGCUGGCUUUGAACUCAGGAUUUUCCUGCCUCAGCCUCCCAAGUUGCUGGGUUGAAGGCAUGUGCCACUGUGCCUGCCCCUCCCCACACCCAGCCCUUUUUAUUUUUUAUGUUAAGAUAGUGUCUUGCUGGGCUGGGGAUGUGGCUCAAGCGGUAGCGCGCUGGCCUGGCAUGCAUGCGGCCCGGGUUCGAUCCUCAGCACAACAUACGAACAAAGAUGUUGUGCCCGCCGAAAACUAAAAAAUAAAUAUUAAAAAAAAU